AUGAAGGUGAAGAGCCGGAACCCAGACAACUAUGUCUGAGAAACCAAACUGGACUUACAAAGAGUUCCAAGAAACUAUGAUCCUACCUUACAUCCUUUUGAGGUCCCACGAGAAUAUGUAAGGGCUUUAAAUGCUACCAAACUGGAACGGGUAUUUGCAAAACCAUUUCUUGCUUCUCUGGAUGGUCACCGAGAUGGAGUCAAUUGCUUGGCAAAGCAUCCAAAGAGCCUGGCUACUGUCCUUUCUGGGGCAUGUGAUGGAGAGGUUAGAAUUUGGAACUUGACUAAACGGAAAUGUAUCCGUACAAUACAAGCCCAUGAAGGUUUUGUAGGAAGAAUAUGUACUCGCUUUUGUGGGACUUCUUUUUUUACUUUUGGCGAUGACAAAACUGUGAAGCAAUGGAAAAUGGAUGGACCGGGCUACGGAGAAGAGGAAGAACCAUUACAUACAAUAUUAAGAAAGACAGUGUAUACAGGAAUUGCUCAUCACUGGAAAGAAGCUGUUUUUGCCACAUGUGGACUGCAAGUAGACAUUUGGGAUGAACAAAGAACAAGUACUAUCUGUUCAAUGACCUGGGGAUUCGACAGUAUAAGUAGUGUUAAAUUUAACCCAAUUGAGACAUUUCUCUUGGGAAGUUGUGCUUCUGACAGGAAUAUAGUACUAUAUGAUAUGAGGCAAGCUACUCCUCUGAAAAAGGUCAUCUUAGAUAUGAGAACAAAUACAAUUUGUUGGAACCCUAUGGAAGCUUUCGUUUUUACUGCAGCAAAUGAAGAUUACAACUUGUAUACGUUUGAUAUGCGUGCGCUGGACACUCCUGUAAUGGUACAUAUGGAUCACGUGUCUGCGGCGCUUGAUGUGGAUUAUUCUCCCACUGGGAAAGAGUUCAUGUCUGCUAGUUUUGAUAAAUCUAUUCGUAUCUUUCCUGUUCACAAAAGUAGAAGCAGGGAAGUCUAUCACACAAAGAGAAUGCAACAUGUUAUCUGUGUAAAAUGGAUUUCUGACAGCAAAUAUAUUAUGUGUGGAUCUGAUGAAAUGAACAUUCGUCUGUGGAAAGCUAAUGCUUCUGAAAAAUUGGGUGUGCUUACAUUUCGAGAAAAAGCAUCCAAAGAUUAUAACCAGAAGUUGAAGGAGAAAUUUCAACAUCAUCCUCAUAUAAAAUGCAUUGCUCGUCGCCGGCAUCUACCAAAAUCUAUCUACAGCCAGAUUCAGGAACAGCGGAUCAUGAAGGAAGCUCGCCGACGAAAGGAGGUGAAUCGUCUCAAACAUAGCAAGCCUGGAUCUGUGGCAAUUGUGUCAGAGAAGAAGAAACACGUAGUGGCAGUUGUGAAAUAAUACUUGGUAUUCCUACCAAUCUUGAUGUAUAAUUAUUUGUUUUAUUUUGAUGUGCAGACUGUGCAAAUAAAGUACUGGCUCUAGAAUCA
Enhydra lutris kenyoni (northern sea otter) is the source of this 1421-nucleotide RNA transcript. It is a transcript of the gene named DDB1- and CUL4-associated factor 13 pseudogene, with no coding region annotated. The transcript has a single exon. Lineage: Eukaryota; Metazoa; Chordata; Mammalia; Carnivora; Mustelidae. The record is from RefSeq and is a predicted model, not a curated record.